This 504-nucleotide ribosomal RNA is filed under the name uncultured bacterium. Its description in RNAcentral is "partial 16S ribosomal RNA". It matches the Rfam family "Bacterial small subunit ribosomal RNA", at positions 29 to 523 of the family's 1533-position model. The record is from RNAcentral.
AUUGAACGCUGGCGGCAGGCCUAACACAUGCAAGUCGGACGGUAGCACAGAGAGCUUGCUCUCGGGUGACGAGUGGCGGACGGGUGAGUAAUGUCUGGGGAUCUGCCCGAUAGAGGGGGAUAACCACUGGAAACGGUGGCUAAUACCGCAUAACGUCGCAAGACCAAAGAGGGGGACCUGCGGGCAUCUCGCUAUCGGAUGACUCAAGAUGGGAUUAGCUAGUAGGCGGGGUAACGGCCCACCUAGGCGACGAUCCCUAGCUGGUCUGAGAGGAUGACCAGCCACACUGGAACUGAGACACGGUCCAGACUCCUACGGGAGGCAGCAGUGGGGAAUAUUGCACAAUGGGCGCAAGCCUGAUGCAGCCAUGCCGCGUGUAUGAAGAAGGCCUUCGGGUUGUAAAGUACUUUCAGCGGGGAGGAAGGCGAUGUGGUUAAUAACCGCAUUGAUUGACGUUACCCGCAGAAGAAGCACCGGCUAACUCCGUGCCAGCCGCCGCGGUAA